Molecule: ribosomal RNA, 497 nt
Filed under: uncultured bacterium
Lineage: Bacteria
Description: partial 16S ribosomal RNA
Rfam family: Bacterial small subunit ribosomal RNA
Source: RNAcentral
GAUGAACGCUGGCGGCGUGCCUAAUACAUGCAAGUCGAGCGAACAGACGAGGAGCUUGCUCCUUUGACGUUAGCGGCGGACGGGUGAGUAACACGUGGAUAACCUACCUAUAAGACUGGGAUAACUUCGGGAAACCGGAGCUAAUACCGGAUAACAUGUUGAACCGCAUGGUUCAACAGUGAAAGACGGUCUUGCUGUCACUUAUAGAUGGAUCCGCGCCGCAUUAGCUAGUUGGUAAGGUAACGGCUUACCAAGGCAACGAUGCGUAGCCGACCUGAGAGGGUGAUCGGCCACACGGGAACUGAGACACGGUCCAUACUCCUACGGGAGGCAGCAGUAGGGAAUCUUCCGCAAUGGUCGAAAGCCUGACGGAGCAACGCCGCGUGAGUUAAGAAGGUCUUCGGAUCGUAAAACUCUGUUAUUAGGGAAGAACAAAUGUGUAAGUAACUAUGCACGUCUUGACGGUACCUAAUCAGAAAGCCACGGCUAACUACGUG